Molecule: ribosomal RNA, 896 nt
Filed under: uncultured bacterium
Lineage: Bacteria
Description: bacterial SSU rRNA
Rfam family: Bacterial small subunit ribosomal RNA
Source: RNAcentral
CUACACAUGCAGUCGAACGCAGUAGCAAUACUGAGUGGCAGACGGGUGAGUAACAUGUGGGAAUCUGCCUUGUGGUUCAGGACAACAUUGGGAAACCGAUGCUAAUACUGGAUAAGCCCUUACGGGGAAAGUUUUAAUGCCAUAAGAUGAGCCCGCAUUUGAUUAGUUAGUUGGUGAGGUAAUGGCUCACCAAGACAAUGAUCAAUAGCUGAUCUGAGAGGAUGACCAGCCACACUGGGACUGAGACACGGCCCAGACUCCUACGGGAGGCAGCAGUGGGGAAUCUUGCACAAUGGAGGAAACUCUGAUGCAGCGAUGCCGCGUGAGUGAAGAAGGCCUUUGGGUUGUAAAGCUCUUUUGUAGGGGAAGAUAAUGACUGUACCCUAAGAAUAAGGUCCGGCUAACUUCGUGCCAGCAGCCGCGGUAAUACGAAGGGACCUAGCGUAGUUCGGAAUUACUGGGCGUAAAGCGCGCGUAGGCCGUUGAGUUAGUUAAUUGUGAAAUCCCAAAGCUUAACUUUGGAACUGCAAUUAAAACUGCUCGACUAGAGUUUGAUAGAGGAAAGCGGAAUACAUAGUGUAGAGGUGAAAUUCGUAGAUAUUAUGUAGAACACCAGUUGCGAAGGCGGCUUUCUGGAUCAACACUGACGCUGAGGCGCGAAAGUAUGGGUAGCAAAGAGGAUUAGAUACCCUCGUAGUCCAUACCAUAAACGAUGAUUGCUAGAUGUUGGAAAUUUAUUUUCAGUAUCGCAGCUAACGCAUUAAGCAAUCCGCCUGGGGAGUACGACCGCAAGGUUAAAACUCAAAUGAAUUGACGGGGACCCGCACAAGCGGUGGAGCAUGUGGUUUAAUUCGAAGAUACGCGCAGAACCUUACCACCCCUUGACAUGUCUGUCG